This 234-nucleotide ribosomal RNA is filed under the name uncultured bacterium. Its description in RNAcentral is "partial 16S ribosomal RNA". It matches the Rfam family "Bacterial small subunit ribosomal RNA", at positions 524 to 755 of the family's 1533-position model. The record is from RNAcentral.
UACGGGGGUGCAGCGUUGUUCGGAAUUAUUGGGCGUAAAGCGCGUGUAGGCGGUUUGAUUAGUCUGAUGUGAAAGACCCUGGGCUCAACCCGAGGAAGUGCAUUGGAAACUGUCAGACUUGAAUACGGGAGAGGGUAGUGGAAUUCCUAGUGUAGGAGUGAAAUCCGUAGAUAUUAGGAGGAACACCCGGUGGCGAAAGGCGGCUACCUGGACCGAUAUUGACGCUGAGACGCG